UAUGAGMAUGACAUUUUAUGCCUAUGUGUCUUGACCAAAUUACGUGCCAGCAGUCRCGGUAAUACGUAGAAGACUAKUGUUAUUCAUCUUUAAUUGGUUUAAAGGGUACCUAGACGGUAAAUCRAGCCUUGCCWCMAGGGACUAAUAUACUAGAGUUACRUGUGAGGGAGUUCUAAAGUACUGCUGGUGUARAGAUGAAAUUCUGUCAUACCAUUARCGAUUAMRAGCMCGGSACARGUAUARGCSAAGGCAUCUCCUUAUGUGAUMACUGACGUUGAGGGACGAAGGCUUUUGUAGCGAACAGGAUUAGUUACCCCAGUAGUCCAAGCAGAAAAUGAUGAAUGUCAUAGAUUAGAUAAAAAGAUUUAUUCUAUAAAUGAAAGUGUAAGCAUUCCACCUCAAGAGUAAUUUGGCAACAUUGGAACUGAAAUCAUUAGACCGUUUCUGAAACCAGUAGUGAAGUAUGUUGUUUAAUUUGAUGAUCCGCAAAGAACCUUACCACAACUUGAAUAUUUAUAUUUUAAUAUAUUUACAAGCGUUGCACGGCUGUCUUCAGUUAAUGUCGUGAGACUUUGGUUAGUUCCAUUAAAUUAACGUAAACCCUUACUUUAUUUUUAUAUAAAGUGGUUCCCCGCUAUAUUGGAUAUGAUAACAGGGACUAAGACAAGUCAU
Molecule: ribosomal RNA, 672 nt
Filed under: Neoprotoparmelia isidiata
Lineage: Eukaryota; Fungi; Ascomycota; Lecanoromycetes; Lecanorales; Parmeliaceae
Description: partial small subunit ribosomal RNA
Rfam family: Bacterial small subunit ribosomal RNA
Source: RNAcentral